Macadamia integrifolia is the source of this 710-nucleotide RNA transcript. It is a transcript of the gene named bax inhibitor 1-like, with no coding region annotated. Lineage: Eukaryota; Viridiplantae; Streptophyta; Magnoliopsida; Proteales; Proteaceae. The record is from RefSeq and is a predicted model, not a curated record. The transcript is spliced from 3 exons.
UUUGACGAAACAUCUCUUAUUCGUUUCGCAGUUUCCAGAAACAACAAUUGCGCAAAAAAAUAAACCCACCCCCGAUGAAAAUCUCUCUGUUUCGAAAGACAAAACCCACAUUCCUCCCAGCCGGACUGCAUCCACAGAGCACCGACUCCCUAUGAAGUGGCAGAGAUUCUUCUGGCGGGUGCGCUCCCGUGAAGGCAGAGGACUUGUCUCCCUCUCUAACACAGUUCGAUCCUUACCCAUUUACAGGUUUAUCUCUCACUUGGGUGCGCUCUAACAGUUUCGGCUGUAGGAGUCUACCUGCAUCUUUUGUGGAACAUCGGUGGCUUACUCACUACUUCGGCAUGCAUGGGAAGCAUUGUAUGGCUACUUUCCACUCCUACACAUGAAGAGAGGAAGAGGGUAGGUCUCUUAAUGGCAGCGGCCCUUUUUGAAGGAGCUUCAAUCGGUCUUCUAAUGGGCUAUUGUAUCGUGUCCAGAGGGAUCAAAACAUGAAUGUCACUAUCCGAGAUGGGGGAAAGUCCUGAUCAUUAUCGCAUUUGGAAACGUUUUUAGAAACAGCUUUUAUCAAAUACAAAAAAAAUAGUUUCUGUUCUCGAAAAUGUAAAUUUAUGUUUCUGCAGUUUUUUGAUACAGAAACGACAGAAACAUUAUCAAUGUAUAAGCCAGAACUCUAUUUGUUUGUAUAAGCCAGAGCAACAACCUCGUGGACC